RNAcentral lists this unclassified non-coding RNA (244 nucleotides) under Glomus sp. Its description in RNAcentral is "partial contains 5.8S ribosomal RNA and internal transcribed spacer 2". The stretch from base 1 to 65 matches the Rfam family "5.8S ribosomal RNA", at positions 84 to 154 of the family's 154-position model. Lineage: Eukaryota; Fungi; Glomeromycota; Glomeromycetes; Glomerales; Glomeraceae. The record is from RNAcentral.
GUGAAUCAUCGAAUCUUUGAACGCAAAUUGCACUCUCCUCGGAGAGUAUGCCUGUUUGAGGGUCAGCCUAUAAAAAUCGACAUCGUUGCUGUUUCGCGGUGGCGUUCGUCGGAAAUUGGGCCAUCUUAAAUCCUUUUGUUUUAAGCGCCUUAAAAUUUUCUUUUGUUUCCUUGAACGUUUUUAGGAUCUAUUUCUUUACAGGUUUAGGUUAUCGAUUUUUCUUAGCCGUGACAAUAAUAUCGAA